This is a long non-coding RNA of Antechinus flavipes (yellow-footed antechinus), 269 nucleotides long. RefSeq lists it as uncharacterized. The transcript has 2 exons. NCBI's taxonomy places the organism in Eukaryota, Metazoa, Chordata, Mammalia, Dasyuromorphia, Dasyuridae. The record is from RefSeq and is a predicted model, not a curated record.
CUAGCCCACUAGAGACUUCGGGAGAUUCACAAGUCAAGAUUCAGUGGAGGAGAUUCACAAGUCAGAACCCACAAUCCCACUCUCAGAGGUGGAGUCAAGAUUCAUUCCAUCUUCCACCUUUGUGCUGACUGGAGAUUUGGAGGGAGCUAGAGGCUGAAACUGGAAGAAACAAAGGAUGAGUGGCAAGAACUCUCGGAAUCAAGGAGAGAGACCUCUAAGAAAGCUAACCAGGCUAAUUUGAAAGACACAAUAAAGGAUUUGGACUUUAA